UCAGAAUACUGUGAUCUUCCUUUUUGGAAAAUGAAGUUUCAGCGAAAAAGAGCUUGAUAUUGUAUUUGCCUUUACGCAAGCAGAAGGCAUAAUAGGUGAGGGAGAUAGGAGCAACACGAGCAUUGGCGUAUAGGUCUCCCUCAGGAACGGAAACUCCACAUGUUAAGUUCUCUAUGUAACCAUUUGCAGUGAUGGUCGUCGGGGUGAUGAAGUCUCCAGAAAAGCUAUAAGCCCAAUUUCCAUCAGGACUUUCAUAAAAGUUUGAUAUUGCAGUAUCAUUUUCAUAAUUUUGCUUGUCAAACUUCACUUGGUCACCACCACAGUUUAUAGACAGGGAGUGAGCUGCAACAAACAUUUAUUAGUAAUCACUAUAUUUAAAAGUUUUUAUUUAGAGUCUAUUUAGCAAAAUUAACUUGUUGGCUAUUUUAGUAGCAUUUAACUGUUUGAAUAACUUUGCUAAGAGCAAAAAUUACGGCGUUUAGUGUUUCAUUAGCUAUUUAAAACUGUUGUCGAUCACAAUUUUAACCUUUUUUUUUUUUAUUUCUACAAGCAAUUAAAUAUAUUCUUAAUACAUAAAAAAAAUUCUCACUAAAUUCUAUAAGUUGCGGAUAGUAAACUUACUUUUUUUAUGACAUUUUUUCGCUUUCUGAGAUAUGUACUCGCUGAAAGAUAAAUAAAUGUGUAAAUUGUAAUUAGACACAUAUAAUUCAAGAUUCAUUACAUAAAAUUAAAGAUGUAAAAGCAAGCAUACCUCGUUGGCUCACUGAAUAGCCAUCAACAAUAUGCAAGUAGUAAGCAAAAAAGCAAGGUGAGUUUUGAAACAAUUUACAAUGCUCCAAACAACAGAUAAUGUGAAAUAUGUUUCCAAUUUACAUGAUAAUCGUAUUUGACGAAGGUUGAAGUGUUCCAUUUUCAUGGUUUGGCAUAUUUGUGAAAUCAUUGUGCGAAAGAUCACUGCAAGACAAAAUGGAAUUAUUUGCUAACUCCACAUACAAAUAUAUAUAAAGAUUAAAUUACUGUGUUAAUUUUUAUUUUGAUGCAUUAUACACUUUGACUUAUAAAAAUGUACGUAUUAAACACUUUAAUUUUAUCUAUUGAACACAUCAACUUAUAAAAUUAGAUUGAUUAAAUAUUUUAUUAAAUAAUUAAAAAAAAAGUGAAAAUUAUUAUUCCAAUGAUUAUAUUAACCACAUAUCAAAUUAGUAUUUUACAUGUAAAAAAAAUAAAAACCUUAAAAUUACUGUUGCUAGUGUGAGAGGGUAUUUAAUUAUUAUAAAAAAUGAAAUUGAGAGGAACCCUAUUUUAAAAUUCAAAAUGUCGCAAUAUUUAUUUAUCAAAGUCGAAGAACUACAUCAUAUAUUCCCCAAUGAACAAAGAAAAUUAAUUGGACAUGAAUGUGGCUAAGAACACCUUAAUGCUGAUUCAUACCGAGACAUGCUAUCGAGUAUAUUCUUGAAUAGCCCAAAUUCAAUAAAUUAAGAUUCAGCUGUGCACGCGCUUUUAUAUAUAUAUAUAUAUAUAUAUAUUUUAUGUACUUACAGUUCAAGUGGUCGAUAAAGCUGUGGUGAUUGCUUACUGAUCCACCGAGGAAAUUUCCCAUUAAACUUAUUUCUUGAUAAAAAUCUAACAUAAAAAAAAAAAAAAAAAAAAAAAAAUUGAACCCAUUAGACAUAUUUCAACUUUGAAUAUUAUUGUAAUGAAAACAAAAGAAUAAUAUUAUAAUUACUAUAUAAAUUGUGUAUAGUAAUUUAAUUAUUAUCUAUCAUAUGGAAUCUAUAUACACAAUGUAAAUUAUUCAUUUGCAUGAUUGAUUGUGAUUAAACAAUAUUAGGAGAGAAAAUAUCUCACAUACAUCGUUCCUGUACCAAACUCUUGGAUUUCACCAGUUAAGUUGUUGAAACUCAAAUCACUGCAAGAAGGAAACAUCAAACAUUAAUUAAAUAAAACUUGCUUUCACUAAAAUUAAAAUUAGAAAUAAUAGACGGUUACGUUUUUUUACAUAAAGCCUCUCUCUUGAAAAUCUAAAAGUCCUUUUUUUUUUUCUUUCAUGAACGGCCAACGACGAGUUCUCACUGGUCCAGUUUUCCUUUUAUUUUAUUUUUCUGAAUAAUCCAGGUAUUCUGUCCUUUGACAUAGAUCUUGGUUAUUAUUGCCUAUAUUUUAGGAUGAUUGUUGCAUGUACCUUGGGAUUUUGCUCUUAAAUGGGGUUGUUUUUUACUGUUUCUGAUUUAUCAUUGUCACCGUUAUGGUGAUUUUACUUAAAAAAUUUUGUUAUCUAGAUAGUUAUGCAAAAACAUGUGCAAAUCCUUUUUGAUAGAAUGAAGAAAUUUAAUAGAAGUAAAAAUUCAUAUAUGUAGAAAAUGAAUUUUACUAGUUGAACAUAGGAAAAUAGUACAGUUAGGAAUUUAAAGAAUAGAUUAAAAAUUGUAGGGAAAGAAGUUACAGUUAAAUAGCAGUUACAGUUCUGUCAUUUUUAGACCAUUUAUCAAUAUAUUUUUUGCUUAACUAAAUAAGAAAAUUGGAUUCCCUAAUAAAACAAGAACACUGAUUAGAAUAAUACUUACAGAUGCGUCAAUUCAGGCCAUUUAGCAAUAUAAGAAGGAAUUGUGCCAUUGAUUGAGCAAUUCCUCAGCACCCUGCAUGUAUAGAUCUCCUUGAUGAGCCAUUUGUAUUUUCGAUUGAAUUUUUAAAUAUUUCAUAAAUUUAUAUUCUUAAUUAGUUUAAAAGUAAUCGUUUUACGUAGCUUUUCACAAACCACUAAAUGCUAAAUAUUAUAUGGUUUAAUUUUUUUACUGUGUUACGAAAACAACUUUUGAAGUAGCUUUUAGUGUUUUGAACAGUAAAAAUGAUAUAUAGUGUUCGAUAAUAUAGCAUUUAAACUAAUUAUUAGAGGUUAAUAUAACAUUUUAUAAAAAAUUAACUCAUGUAAAGUGUAACUUUUAGUGUUUUAUGAAAAACUACUCAAACAACUAAAACUAAACUUUACUAAAACAGCCAACAACUAAUUUUGCCGAAUAAAGCCUUUAUAAAAUGUUACAUUAAUUUUUAAAAGCUAAUUCAAACGUUAUGUUACCCAACACUAUACAAAGAUAACCUGUAAAAUCUACUUAAAUAACCGGUCAACAAGAUAAAAUCUACUUAAAAAUUAUUGCCAAAUACAAUCUAAAUAUCCUGUAAUAUUUAAUUAUUUAGUCAUUCACAUUUAGUAUAAUAUUACUAUUUACUCCCACUUAUUUACUACUCCAUCCGUUCAAAAAAGAUAGUACACUUUCUAUUUUCACACACAUUAAGAAGAAAGUAGCAAUUAUUAUGGUUAAAUGAUAAUUUUAUUCUAUAACUUUCCUAUUAUACUCAUCUUAAAUAACACAAUUUAAGAAUUAAUGAUAAGUAAGAACUAAUGAAGGUUAUUGAGAAUAAGAUAAAAUUUAACAAGGGUAUAAUAGAAAAUUUAAGAAUUAAUUGUAAUGCAAAAAUAAAAAGAAGAAAGUGGACUAUCUUUUUGAAACGGAGGCAGUAUUACAUUAUUGUUUAAUUCUUCACUUAAUGAUAAAAAUAACUAUCCUUGAAAAAAAAAAAAAAAAAAAAAAAAAAAAAAGGAAAUUUUGACCAAUCCUUCACCAAUUGCAACAAAAUGCAAAAUUUAAUAAGUUGUUAAUACAUUGGGACAAUAUAUGUAUACAGAAAUACUCACAAAGAACUUAUGUUCGUCAUCAAGUCCGCUUGUUUGGGGAAAGCAAAACCAGGAUUCCUUAAGCCACUAACCCACCUGAAAUCAUUCAACCACUUCUUAAAAAGCUUUAACUAGAAAACGACAGCGCUUCAACUGUUUCUUGAAAUGAAAUUAGAAAAAUAAUUGUCAUUUAACUGCACAUACAAUUUCGUAAGAUCUGGAAGCUUGAAAAUCCCUUCUGGUAGAUUCCCUUCAAAAUUAUUUCCCAGAAGGUUCCUGACAAGUUUGUAAUGGUACAAACAACAUUCUAAUUCUUUAAUUUUUAGUUUUAAUAGUAAAAUUACAAAAAAAAAAAAAAAAACAUAUUAUAUCCUAAAAUUUUAAAGAACUUUUAUUUGUAUCAAAAUAAAUUCUUAAGAAAUCUUACAGAUAACUGAGGUUCUUCCAGUUUGCAAUGUAAUCGUGUAUAGGGCCAGACAAAUAAUUUCCAGCUACCUCACUGCAUUGCAUUGAUCAAUUUGGGAACUUGAAAUAUAUUAGCAAAUUCACAUCAAGAAAUUCCUUAGAAAUACAAAAUUUCUUUUUGAAGUCUGACUUUAAAAAAUAAAAUAAAGAAAGUUAUAAACAAUUAUUUAUGCCAUUUAUUGCAUAAAAAACUAAAUAAUAAUGAUAGGAAUGACUUACAAGGUUUCAAGUCCAGUAAGUUGGGAAUAACUUUGUGGAAUUUUACCAGUAAGAUAAUUGGAAUUCAACCGGCUGCAAUCAUAAAGUUUUAGUUAAAGAGUAACUAUAAUACAUUAAAAAGUAAUUUGUAAAUUCAGUGGAUACUAUCUCUGUUCUAUAAUACUUGUCACAUUUGAAAUUUCACGUCUUUUAAGAAAAUCAUUAAAUUUGUCUAAGUUACAAUAAAUUAUGGAGUAAAUUAACUAUAUUACCCUUAAUUUAAUACUAAUUCUCUAAGAAAACCAUUAAAUUGAAGUAAUAAUUAUUAUUCAUAUACAAAGGAAGGGUAAAUAUGAAAAAAUAUUUAUUACCCUUUGAAACCCAUAAAUAUGAAAAGUAUCAUGAAACUGAGUUAGUAAUCAAUUUGACUAAUUUAAUAAUUAAAAAACCUGUAGCAACUCUGUCGAUUUUAAUGACAUUUAGAAUUAGUUCAUAAGAAGAAAAAUAUACCUUUUCAUAAUAAAAAAAAGACGAAAAAUAAAUAAAAUUAAAUGAAACUUACAAACUUGUAAUAUUGUUCAAUUUUCCAAGUGCUUCAGGAAGUGGACCCGUGAGUUCAUUGUCAUACGCAGACCUGUUUUUUAUUAUUAUUAUUAUUUUUUUUUUUAGUAUACAGCAUAUAGUCUAUAACAUUAAAUAUAAAUUGUUUUUGGGUGAUUAUUUUGUUUCAAAAUAUAAAUUGUUUUGAGUAUUUUUAACGAGUAAUAAAUGAUAAAUUUCCAAUAUUACUCAUAUUUACAUUAUGUACAAUAAUCACCUUUACUCAGUUACUCUUGAUUUGAGAUAAAAGAUAAUUUAAUUAUAAUUUAAAAGAAUUAAUUGUUUUCUUAAUUUUCAUGUAAAAAUUUUAAAUGACUUACAAUGUCUUCAGCGAUUUGAGGUUACCAAAUGAUUCAGGUAUGGAUUGAUUCAGGAAGUUGAACUCCAAAUACCUGUUGCAUGGAGUUUUUCAACAGCAGUUAUAAGCGCAAAUUCAUUUGAUGUACUGAAAUAAUUCUAUAGCAAUAAGGGAAGUACUCACAUUCGAAUCAAAUUUUGCAGAUUGCCCAAUCCAGUCAUUGGACCAUUCAAGAAAUUGCUUGAAAGAUCCCUAAUUGCACAAAACUCAACUUAAUAUAUAUAAUCACACAGUCAAAAUAAAAUUACAGACGUUACGUAAUUGAUUAACUUACAAAUACUCAAGUGAAUUUAAAGCUUGAAAGCUACUGGGAAUAGUACCUUCAAGCUGAUUGUUCUCUAGAUCGCUGAUCAAAUAGAAUCACAAAUGGCAUAUUUGGUUGUUUCAGAAGUAAAGUAAUACUGAACGUAUUUUGUUGAAGACAAUUAAACUAUUCAUGUCAAGAUUAAAGAAUUUGCAAGUUGAUUAUUCUUACAGCUUUGUCAAACUAGUUAAAUUUCCCAUGUUUUGUGGUAGGGAUCCAGUCAACUGAUUGAAGGAAAGAUCCCUGAAUUUUAAUCAAAAAAUAGAGAAUUAGUGUCAUACUGUUUGCUCCUAUAUUUAUAAAAAGAAACUAGAUGGGAGUUUACAGAAUUUGCAAGUGUUGAAGCCCACUUAUUGCAUCAUCCAUAUUUGUUUGUUUCAGUAGUAAAGUAAUAUUGAAUGCAUUUUGUUGAAGACAAUUAAACUAUUCAUGUGAAGAUUAAAGAAUUUACAAGUUGAUUAUACUUACAGCUCUGUCAAACUAGUUAAAUUUCCCGUGCUUUGUGGUAGGGAUCCAGUCAGCUGAUUGGAGGAAAGAUCCCUGAAUUUUAAUCAAACCAUAGAGAAUUAGUGUCAUACUGUUUGCUAUAUUUAUAAAAAGAAACGAGAUGGGAGUUUACAGAAUUUGCAAGUGUUGAAGCCCACUUAUUGCAUCAUCCAUAUAACCACUCAGCGAGCUACUCAUUUUAUUUCUGUCACCAUGAAAUGUGAAAAUAUAAGGUCAUAAUUAAAUAUUUACAAUGAUAUUUCAUUUUAACGAAGACUAUAAUUAUUACUGAAAUAUAGAAGUGUAAAGUCAUGAUUGAAAUCCUCCCAAAGUUCAGGAGGCACAAAGAUAAUUUGCCAACAUUCAAGAUCAAAUUUAUGCAUUACGCCACAUACAUACAUACAUACAUACAUUUCGGUUAUAUGGCAAGUGAAAUAGCCAUCCUUGUCCUUGAAACUGCAAUCACACCUUAUUGCAGCACCAGCCACCAGGUUGCUGCUAUUUUGACAGUGUGAAACAUUGAAGUAUGUGACGCCUAAACCGGUUAAGAAAGUUGUAAGAGCAUCCACUGUCAAAUAUUUCAAAAAAAUUUACAUCAAACCCAGAAAAAGUCAAACAGUGAUUUCAUAUUCUUCAAUUUGAACAGAAAGGAGAAAACAAAAAAACGAUUAGCACUGAUUCUUGAAAGAAAAGAGAGAGUUAAAUGUGGGUAUGGAAGCUUACACUCGUCACAAGGCAGAGCUUGGUUUCUGUCACAAUAUUCCCUUCUAGAUGUUCCACCACUAUAAACUGUAGACAGAAUUAAUGUUAAUCCAAACAAGUAACAAUGAAAUUAGCUAAUUCUUGAAAGAAAAGAAAAGAAAAGAAAAGAGUUUGAAAAUUGUGUUUAUAGAAGUUUACCGCUAUUACAAGUAAGUUUAUAGGGGGGACAUUGACAGGAAGAAUAAGGUCUACCACUUUUACAGUAAGGAUAGUUAUUAACGGCAACUGCUUUCUGGUUUCUAGUAAUAUAAGGUUUAUCAGCUCCAUGAACAAGUUGCCAUUGAAGAAGGAAAGUAAGAAUGGGAAUAAGUAAAGCCCUCCCUGAAAGUUUACUACACAUUCUUUCUUCUUUGGAUGGCUGUUUCUGUUACUCCUAAAUUUAUACAGCCUCAGAGAGUCAAUGGCAAGUCCUCUAUGGUCCCCGUAUAUACUAAAAGAAAGGAACUUUGAUCCUUAUCAAUCAAAAAGAAAGGAACUUUCAUCCUUUUCAACCAAAUAGACUCAGUUAGGAGAAAAAAAAAAAAAGAAAAAAAGGAAACUAAGUCAAGGUCAAGUUUUAUUAUCUUUUAAUUUUUUAAAUCCUUAACUAUAAUUAAACGUAAAAUACAUAAAUUUAUCCUUAAAUUUUGUUACUUUAAUUUUAUAGCAGCUUUUCAACUUUUAUUUUUAUCCGUCAAAUAUAUCAACUUAUAAAAUUAUACAUAUUAAAUACUAAUUAGACUAAUUAAACACCUAUUACAUAACUAAAUAUUAUAAAAAUUAUUAUUCUAAAAAUUAUGUUAACUAUAUAUCAAAUCAAUAUUUUAUAUGUAAAAUAUCAAACUUUAAAAAUUAUUGUUAUUACUAUGAAAAUAUAUGCAAUGUUAUCAAAAUUUCCACAAAUAUGUAAUAGAUCAUCCACAAAGUUCAGAGCGCUCUAAUUGCCAUAAAUCUAGUUUAACAAAUGCAAAAAAAAAAAAAAAAAAAAAAAAAAAAAAAAAAAGAGGAUGUAUAACAAUCUAUUUUUGAAAAGAGAAGACUUGAUAUGUAUAUAUAUAUAUGUGUGCGCUCUGUUAUAAUGCUCUCUCUUUACAUUAUUGUCUUUUUUUAGUCUAAAAUUAAUAUAUAUUUCUCAUUUAUUUCUUCGUACACAUUGACUCUAAGCAUGAUGACACUCUUAAACUCAACUUAGUAAAUUCUCGAAGCAAUAUAUGAAAAUAAUAAAUUAAAUUGUUUUUAAAAAGAAAUAAAUUAUUAUAUUUUAUUAUAUUUAUCACAUUUAAAAUUUUAUAUUCUUUAAAAAAAAUAUUAAAUUUAUUUAAGUUACAAUAAAUUAUUAAGUAAAUUGAUUUUAUUAUCCUUAAUUUUAAUUCUCCAAAAAAACUAUGAAAUUAAAGUAAUAAUUAUUGGUCAUAUAAAAAAGGUAAAUAUGAAAAAAAAAUUUAUUAUUAUUUAAGACUAUAAAUGUGACAAGUAUUUUAAAGGAAACUAUUUUUGCAAAUGUGACGAAUAUUAUGAAACGGAUGUAAUAAUUAUUAAUUUAAUCUAAAGAAUAUAUUAUGAAAUAAAAGUGAAAUAUCAUAAUUUCUAAAUAAUAUAGAGCGAAAAAAUCAAAUAAAGAUACAAAAUUUAUCUUUUACAAUGACUUGAAAAUGGAAAAAAAAAAAAAAAACUUUCAUUUAAAAACGCAAUGAACAAUAGAAAGACAAAUUCAGAACAUAAAAAAAAAAUAUAAAAACUUAAAAUGAUAAGUAAAAUGUGAAUUAAUCAUAUGGAAAGAGUUCUUUUAAGCUUUUAUACAAAAUAAUAAAGAUAGAAAAUUAGUAUUUGAUAGCAUAUAUGCUUUUCAAUGUAAGUUUAAAUUGUAUUAUUUGAAAACUAACUAACAAUAUUAUGUAAUAAUUUUAUUUAUAAUAAUUUAGAAAUAAUAAACAACUAUAUAUUAUUAUACAAAAUUAAUUAAUAUUUUUAUUUAUAUAACAUAUUAAAAUAAAAAAUAAUAUAAUAUAAUGCAUUAUAUAUUAAUAAUUUUGGCUAUAAUUUAGAGAACAAUUUAUUUAUUUUUUCCUUUAAUCUAUUCCCGAGUUAAUAUAAAUGAUGUAUUAGAAAUAUUACUAAUAAAAAGAAAAAAAAAAUAAAGAAACGGAAAGACCAAAGCAUUGUGACUAAAUUAAGGCCACGAUGACACGCAACACAAAACAAAUGAACAAGUCCUUUUCUUUUGAGCAUAGGAGAUAAGAAUCACUUUGAGUCUUUUUCUUUUUCCCCUCCUUUAUUAUAAUAGUAAUCAUGGCAAUUCUUAAAAACAAUUUAUUGUAUGUAAAAUACAAAAUUUAGGCGAUGGUAAAGUAAUGCCAUGUUUGCUCCUAAAGCCAUUAUUUCUUUUCUUGAUAAUUACAAGUAAAAUGAUAAUGAAAUAUUAAUUUGGAAAAAAAAUUUUAGCAAUUAUUUUUGUAAGGUUAAAAUUUUUUAAAAUAAUAUUUAAUAUAAAUUUAUUAUUUAAAUAAUUAUAAAACAAAAAAAUGAUUAAAAAAUAUUAAUUUAAAAAAUAAUUUUACUAUUAAUUUGUUUUGAAAUUUAAUUAAAUCUAAAUAUAAUAUAAAAAUAAUUUUUUAAAAAAGAUGUGAAAUUUUAAUUGUGACAUGUAUUAUAAAUAUAUGUCUUCAAUUAUUCAGGUAAAGUCUCAAUUAUUGUGUAACUUUUCUGUCUCAAAAGCAUAAAUGAUUGAAAAAAGUAAAGUUCCAUUAAUAUCCCACUCUUGUAGAAUUUGACUCCAAGAGUCUCUUUACUAAUUUAUUGAAAGCCUGAAUAGGGUAACGCGACCAUUGAACCCAAACAACCGUUGGUGUUGGGAGAAAAAAAAAAAAAAAAACAAGUUGAAGUAACACAAAUUACAAAACAAGUAUUCUUUUUUAAAACAAUGGUAAUUUGUUUUUUUUCUGUUAAACAAAAAGACAAAAAUAAUUGAUUCGAAUUUGUAAUGUGAUUAUGCUUGAUAUUCAUUCCUAACAAAUAAAGUAACAUGUCUUAAUCUUAUGCUACUAUUAAAUAAUAUUAAUUAUUUUAAUAGUAUUUAUUAUUUUUUUAACAAUUACCUAAACGAAAAAAUGGUGGUAGAGUGAUAGUUAAGGUGAUGGUUGUGGUGGAAUGAUGAUAACCAGUAGAGUUUGAGGUUGAGUUUGAUUAGCAUUCCGUAGAGAUUAUAAUGGAAUGAUAAUUAAAAUAUGGGUAAUAAAAAAAUUCAUCAAAACAUUAUAAUCAAUUAUUAAUGUAAUAUUUAUUUCAUUAUAUAGUUGAUUCCAUUUAGACACGGCCAAAAUUCAGUUUUUGGAACCGGAACUGUCAGUUUGAAACCGGUCCGAACUGGAACCGGAACCGGUAGCCUACGACUUGAUUCCGGUUCCACCAUUCUUAGAACCUUGAAUCGACGGUUCUAAGAACCAGCCAGAACCGGUUGGAACCGCCGGUUUUUCCGGUCGGUUUGAAAUUUCGGUUUGGACCGGUUUGUAGUUGGCUAGUGCAAAGGUCUGAAUAGAAAAAAGGAGAAAGUAAACCUGAAAGGUGUAGUGGCGCAGUUGGCUAUAGCGUAGGUCUCAUUGCGAAAACCGUUGAUUGAUAUCCUGAGUUCUCUCACCCUAUUUCCUUUUUAUUUUUAUAGCUUUUUUUUAUUAUAUAUCCAUAAUGAUGCUCGUUGUAAUUUUAAUUUAUUUGUAAGAAAGAAUUAAAUAAAAUAUUUACGAUAGUUUUUCAUAUUUUGCUUUUUUUUCUAAAAAUUUGAAUAAAUUUAAAAUUGAAAAGAAGAUUGAUGACCAAAAAUUUAAUUAGUAUAAAACUUUCAUCAUUAACAAUUUUCAUUUUAUUAAAUCUACAAUUAUAUUAUAUACCGUUCAAAAUUUUGUAUCACACAUAAUACACUAGAAGCACAAUCAUGUGUGGAUGAUUGGAGUAAGGCCGAAUUAAGAGCACAAGAAAAUACUAAAGAAAAUGAAGAUUCAUAUGAUUUUUACGAUGGGUCCUUAACGAGAAUAUCAACCUGUAGUCGCAAUAGCGACUAAAGUAAAAUGGGUGAAAUUAGUGUAAGGUAAGUAAAAAUUACGUGGGAUUUGAUUCUUCUAAACCCCAAGAGAAUACGUAGACAACUUAAUUUUUUUAAAAUAAAUUAAGUUCAAACCCUUUUUUUUUUUUAAUUAAGUUUCAGCCUUUUUAAACAAUAAAUAAAUUUAGUUGAAGACCUUUUUUUAAAUAAAAUAAAGAUCAAGUUUUUUUUUUUUGAAAAUAUAAAUUAAAUUCAAGCAUUUUUAAAUUUUAAAUUUUGAAGAAAAAUAUUCUCUACUUAUUUAUUUUACAUUUAUGCGAUUCGCUGGAAAAUCGGUCGGAGAACCGGCCGGAACCGUCGAUUUUGGAACCAUUAAGGAACCCGAACCGGAACCGUCAAUUUUCGAUUUAGUUCUGGACCCGUCGGUUUCGGAACCGUGGCCAUGUCUAAUUACAUUGAACCAAAUGCAGCCUUAUAGAAUAUUAGAAUACUGAUAUGGCACGAUGCUAAAAUAUUAUUUUACCUUUUAUUUUAAGAAAACUAUUUCUAUAAUAUAAUUGAUAGAGAGUUUGAAUUAAUAUAAUUAAUGACACUCUUCAAUUUGUCAAUAAUUAAUAAAAUUAAUAAUAUUAUUAAAAAUUUUGAAAACCUUUCACUUUUUUAUUUUUAAAUAAUUUCCUGUUUUUCAUUAAUAUUUCAUAUAAACCGAUAUUCUUUAGUUUUUUUGAUAACUAAUAAAACUAAUAAUUUCAUUAACAUUUCGAAAAUCUUUCUCUUUCUUUUUUUAAAUAAUUAACAAUACUAUUAAUUUUUAUAUCUGCGGAAAUAUUCAUUCUCUUCAUUUUCCUUUUUUUAUUGAUAUGAAAUUCACAUAGAUUUAUCUUUCAAUAUAAAUGAAACUAUAAAGAAACACAGAAUCAUAUAUUCAACAAAAAAAAAAAAAAAAUGGGACUCUCUUUGCACAUAGUAUCAAAAUUAUUUUUCACGGCAUUUUGUUAAUGUGAGCUUGAUCAAUGUAGCAACAACAAUGUAAUUACAAAAUGUAUUUGGUUUCUUAUAAUCAAUUGAUAUGUGAUUUUAUGAUUUAUAUAUCAACCUUUAACUAUUAGCAUGUUAGAUCCACAUAGAAGCAUCUUACAUGUUGUUAUUAUAAUUAAGUGUUUAUCUUUAUCAUUAAUUAUAGUGUGAUUCUGACAUGAUAUCAUUUAACUCAUAGAAUUCAUGUUUUCAAGAUGCUUUUUUUCUAAUUAAAAUUAAAAUUAUAAUUGAUUUUAUAAUGUGAUUUUGUACGAAAUUCUAUUCAAAGCAUUAAGUUUUACAAAAUAUAUAAACAAAAAAAGCAAAAAAAAAAAGAAAAAAAAGGAACACUGAAAACAAAUAAACAACACCAUAUAGAGUGGUGAAUGGAGCAGAGUUCACAUAAGAAAACUCCAUAGUAAAUCACAAAUAUUAAAUUAGACUGGGGAAGGAUCCAUAUCUCUGUUUCUACUGACUUGGAAGCCCCUAGUUUCGAGUAAUGUCCUAAUAUCCUCAACGGUUUUUUUCCUGGUGGUGUCGGGGGGACGUAGGUACAAUUGGCUAAAACUUAUUAAAAUUCUGGUCCCUUUUAUUUAUUGCUUUGUUUUUAUUUAUUUAAUAGCUAUUGUUGGGCAAAAUAUUUUUGGUGGUUAUUAUCUAAUUGAUUACAUAUCUAGGUAAAUUCUAUCAACCAACACGAAUUUAGUCUAAGGAAAGUGGAUUUUAUGUGAAACCACUUGUAACUCCUCCACCUAUCUGAAAAUUUACCUAGUAUAGUUACUGAGUGCAAUAAUUCACAAAUUAUUUUAAUUUGGUGGAAAAAGCCCAAUUUCCACGACACAUUAGACAUAUGUAACUUGUUAAUUUAGUUUUAUGACCUUUCAAUGGUAAAAAAUAAAUUAAUAUUAAAUUAGUGUGAAAAUUUUUCAAUAAUUAGUGUCCUCUUUUAAUAUUAAAUUAAAAAAUCAAGUAAAUUAAUAUAUUGUGUUACCUAUUUUAUACAAGUAAGCACAAUUAUUGAAGUAAAGUCUCAAUAAUUGUUCCAUUAGCACUCCUACAUCACAAAACCCUGAAUCAUUAGGAGACGCAGAAAUCACAAAAGCAGGAUUUGGGGUCACAAAAGCUGAGAAAAAACUAGCAUGUUAUAGCAUACUUUCACAAGGUUUUGAGUUCUGUAUCUGUUUUUAUGGUUCACAGUGAACUCAAUUAAUCCUCAUUCAUCUUUGGAGGCAAAAAAGUUGGCCGGAGGCGCAGAUGACCAAACUCAUGACUUAAGUUAUGGUAAUUAAUUACGCAAGUGUUUUCUGUACUGAUUACUUUCUGUCCAGUUAAAAAAUAAAUUAUAAUUCUUAUCGUGUAAUAUUAUAUUCCCUUCGUUCUAUAUUUUUGUCUCAUUUUUCUUUCCAUCCAUCCCAAUUGUUGUCAUGUUUCUUUUUUUUUAAAAAAAUUAAUAAUAUUUAAAAUUUAUUAUUUUAUUUUAUUUAAUAAAUUUUUUAUCAAUAAAUAUAAUAAUCAAAUUACUACAUUAUCAGUAGUUGGGGACUAACAAGUUACCAGAAUUUCAAAAAUUAUCAAAUAAACGAGUUGUCGAAAUUCGGUCAAGCUCAAGUCUUCUUACCUUUAAUUUUUAAACCCUUAUCAAAUCAUGCCCUACAACAGGACAUAAUCAAGAUAAGUCUUCAAAAUAUUAAUAUAUUAAAGAGAGGGUCUUUCCCUCUUUUUUUUUGCCCUUUCUUUUAAUCUUAAAUUAAUAUUUCUCAUUUGUCUCAUUCUCAUCAUGUGCAUCAUCCAUGACGACAGUAUUAGCUGUAAGCACGAUGAUACACGGAAUUUAAAAAAAUGACCAAUUAUGUGAAUUCACCUGUCAAUUUAAUAAUUUUAAUUUUAUAGUAAUUCUAAAUGUUAUAAAUGACCUGCGGCAUAUUUGAAUUUGUAAAUUUUUAAAUGAAUAUGGUCGGAGAAUUCAUUUGUAAAUGAAUUUGAGGUAAAUUUGUCAUAUUUGAUAUGCUAUAAUUUAAAAUAAGGAAUUUAAUUGAAUUCAACGAAAUUAUAUUUUGAAUAAAUUUUUAAAUAAAAAUUCAUUUGUCUUUAUUUCUUAUAACACUCUUGAUAUGAAAAUUUAAUAAAAAUAAAUAACAAACACCAAUUAUAUUUAUUAUGUACAAUAUAAUAACUAGUAUUUUUUUUAUUAAAAUAUAAAUAAUAAAUUUCAUAUAAAUGAGUACACUAAUAUUUCACUCUAAUUGAUUAAUUAUAUGAGCAGUAACAUUCAUCAUAAUAAUUAUUUUUAAUUGAUGUAAAAAUUUUUAUUGAUUUAAGUAAUUAAUUUGGAAACUAAAAAUAAUUAAGAAUGUUACUAUUGUUUUAAUUGCAUGGAAAACAAUUGUCGAUACACAGUUUUUUAUAUUAUUAGACUUAAAAGAAAAAACACGCCAUUACUAGUUUGGAAUUUUCCAAAAAAAUAAAAAUAAAAAUAUAAACUAACGUCAUUACUGGAUUAAAAAAAAAGACAUUGUUAUAGUUUGAAAUUUUUCAAAGAGAAUAAAUAAAAAGGAAAAAAGAAAGUAAAAAUAGUUGAGAUUAUAGCGGAGGAUAAUUUUGUUAAUAAAAUUUUAAUGGUCAAUUUUGUGAAAUUUAUUUAUAAAUUUCAUCAAUUUUAGUAGAAUUUGAGUUAGACAUUCUCAAUUCCAUAGAAUUCAAUUCGUAAAAUUUAAAUCUGUUUUUUUUUUUUCAUUCUAAAUACAACAUUUUGGAUUUCCAAAUGAAUUUCACAAAAUUUGUGGAAUUCAUUUAUUCCAAAUGGAUUGCACACCUUUCCAUACUAAUAGCAAUAUUUUUUAGGAUUUUUAGUUUUUAUGCAAAAUAUGAAUUUAAUGUGUAGUUAAUAUAACUUUUGAAAUAAUAAUUUUCACAUAUUUAAAUUAUAUAAUAAAUAUUUAAUUGAUCAAAUUUUGCAAAUUGAAAUGUUCAAUAAAAUAAUUUUGUAAAUUUAAAUGUUUAAGAUACAUAAUUUUAUAAGUUAAAGUAAUUAAUAAAUCAAAAUAAAAAUUGAGGGUGCCUAAUUUCAAAGUAAUAAAAUUUAUGAAUGAAUUUUUAUAUUAUUUAUAUUAAUAUUAAUAUUAAUAUAUUUUAUAUUUUAUACAAUUUAAAUAAUUUACAUAAUAUUUAAAUAAUUUAAAUAAUUUUAUACAAUUUAUAUUUUAUACCGGAGUUUUAUUUUAUUUUUUUAAGGGAUCAGAUCCUAUUACCUCGUGAGGUCACAGGAACGGACUAGAAUUUUCUCAGAUUGGACUCAUCUUCGUAUGGAUAUCAAACUUCUUUUAAGUCAGCUUUAGGAUUAUUUUCUAACUUGGAUUAGAAGGCAAAAUAACAAAACCUGCUCAGAGAACUAGACAAACUUGUUCGAUUAAUAAACCUACUCAAAUUGGUCUCUAAAUUAUAUCAAACAACAUAUAAUUAAAUAAUUUUAUUUGCAAAAACUAUAUAUGAAGUGUUUAACUUAUGAGUUAACAUGUUGAUCAUUCUGUUCAAAAUAACAUUAACUAACUAUAAGAUUUUUAAUUUAUGAUUUCCGUUAACAUUUUAAUCUUUCUAUUUUUGGAUUGAAGGACUAAAGCAUUAAUAAAAUCUCGUAAUUCUCGAAAAUAGAAAUCCUAAUAUAUUAACUUGACUAUGACUUUUACUACAGUACAGAAUUCAAAAAUUUUGUAUUGAUACAGAAACUUCAUUUGCAUGCCAUUUGGACAUGCGCUAACUUGCUAGGUAGGUCAUAAGGUUAAAACAUGAUUUUAAUAUAAAUAGUAGGGUACUUGAAAUUAUUUUAAACACAAUAAAUAACAUUUUAAGAUAAUUAUUUUUAUAAAAAUCUCUAAACGAUCUCAAUACAUAUUAAAAAAAUUUAUAAGUAUGGAUUAUAUAAUUCAUAAUUAAUUUUGAUACGAAACUAAGUUUUGAAGUUAUAUUCUUAAAGCAAAUGAUUAUGGCUUUUUUGAAUUUUACAAUAAAAUUUUAAAAAGUAAAAGGUGAAUGUUAUAAAUUCGAUUAUGAUCAUUAUAUUGUAAAUUUAUUUGGGAUAAUGCAAUUAUUAUUGAUGUAUUGGAUUAAUUAUAUUAUUGUUUUGAGCUCUAAUAGAUAAAACACUUGCUUUUAUAUAAAGUCAAGCUUAUAAUGGAUAUAUUCAAAAAAUUAAGUUGAGUUGUUUUUUCGGUAGAUCACAAAUAAAGUUCAAAUUAGACAAUUACAAUUUACAUAAAUUAUAAAAUAAUUUUAGUAAAAAAAGUUAAGUUAUGAUAUAUUAUAACUAAUAAUGUAGGAGUAUAUAAAAAUUAAAUUAUAAAUCAUAUUAUGAUCAGCAACACAACAAACUUAAAAUAUUUUUUUAUUUCAUCUUAGGAGGUAAAUAGUAGCUCAAUAACUUAUUUAAAUUCAAUAAUCCUUUAUUUUAAUUAUUUAUGAAAAGAAUAUUUGAUACUUUUGUUGUUUUUAAACUUCUUGCGUUGACGUCUUUUAGAUUGGUAAAACAAACUUUUAACUAAAAUAAUAAAUAUAAUUAAAUUAUAUAUGAAUAAGGAUACUGGUUUUAUAGGCAGCAGGUUAUUAGAUCUUUUAAAUUUAAUGGUCCACGUUUAGGUAGUUUAAAUCUAAUGAAAUAUAACUAUUUCUUUAUUUAUACAGAAUUUCUCAUUCUGUAUAAUAGACUUACCUAUGAUUUAAAUCAAUUUAUUUUUUUCUCUUUAAACUACUGGUAUUCUCCCAUUAAUGCAAAUUUAGAAAUAUUGCUAAUGAAGAGGAAUAAAUAAGUAAUUUGCUUUUUUAAUGAAGUGCUUUUGAGCGAGUUUUCACUGAUUUAAUAAAUUAAAGAAGUGAAAGAGUUUUUAUUAUGUAGCUCACGAUUUUAUUUUUAACUAUUUUGAUUAAAAAUAACGUAAAAUUAGUUUUAGAAUUACAAAAUUACAAAUUAUGAUUUCAAUUAUACCUUAAUUGAUAAAACUUAUAAUGAAUUGAAAAUAAAUAUUACUUUAAAAUUGAAUCCCGAUGGCCAAUUCCGUUGGUGAUGUUAUAAAUAACUUUAAAAUUAUUAGUCAAAUCCCCCUUAAAUGCAUUCUUAAAAAAUGAAAAAUAAAAAAAAUACAAUCCAUGAAUGGUCAAAUUAUUACUUUUUUUUUUCUGAAUCUAUUACCAGAUUAUAUAAAAUAAAAUAUAUAAAAUAAACAACACUAUAAUGGUCACAAAUUAUAUAAAACAUGUUUUGAAAGGAGUAAGAAUUAUAUAAAAUGAUACUACCAAUCAGGUGGUAGUUUUGUUGGUCUUCUCACUUAUGUGAGGAAUAAAAAAUUUCGAGUUCAGAGUCCUCUAAAUCAUAGUUGCACUUUUAUCUUUUCUUAAUAACAAAUCUAAUUUCUCUUUUGCCGAUAACAAAAAAAAAAGUACUCACAAAGACUCUAAGUGUGUUAAGUUUGCUUGCUGCGGGAAAGUAAUACUAGGAUUCCUCAGUCCAGUAACCGAUCUGAAUCAAAAAAUCUCGUCUUAGAAAGCUUUAGCCAGCUUAUUUUGACCUAGUGGCCUCCCUAUGAAUAAAAAACAAAAGAAAGAAAGAAAGAAAGCAUUAACCAGAAAACGCCAAAGCUUCAAUUGUUUCUUCCAAAUGAAAUUAUGAAAAGAAGUAGGUAUUCAGUUACUGCACGUACGAUGUAAGAAGCUUUGGAAGUUUAAAAAUCCCUCCUGAUAGAUUCCCUUCAAAAUUAUUUCCCAUAAGUUCCCUGACAAUUUUAUAAUAGUACAAACAAUAUCAGAUCAAGAUAAUUUUUUUUUUCAUUUUAAAUAAUAAUAUUCAACAUUCUGAAUCUUUAUUUAUUUACAUUUAUUUAUAUCAAAAAUAAAUUCUUAGAAAUACUUGCAGAAAAGUGAGGUUCUCCCAAUUUGGGAUGUAAUCCGGUAUAAAACCAGACAAAUUGUUUCCAGAUAGUUCACUGCAUUGCAUUGAAUCACAGUUUUGGAAAUUAAAAUAUUUUUACAAUAUUUGACAUCAAAAGACCCCUUCUAAAAAAAAUGAGAAUAAUAAUAAAAUAAACAACUUUAUUUUUCAACUUUGCUUUAAAAAUAAAUAAUGUUUAAGGAUGACUUACAAAUUUUCGAGUCGUUUAAGUUGAGAAUAAUUAUGUGGAAUGUUUCCAGAAAGAUAGUUGGAUCCCAACGAGUUAUAACCAUAAAAUUUCAGAAGUUGGCAAUAUAAGCAAUAUAAUUUAAAUUUGACUAAUUUAGUAUUUAAUUCUAUAUUUUAAUAGAUAAAUAAUAAAGACAUGCUUACUAAUAACAGGACUUAUUGCGUUUUUAUUAUUCUCUCCUAUUUACUUUUACUUAUUGGUUUGUAACUUUAAAUGUAUUUAGUUUGAUUUUUAUAUUUAUUUUCUAAUUAGGUUUAGAUUAGUAAUUUUAUUCCUAAUUAAUUUAAAUUUUCUACUCUAUAAAUACUCCUUUAUCCAACAUUCUAAAUAAAGUCUUUCAAUUAGAAUAUUAGAAUUUUCUCUUCCAUAAAGUUAUGUUUGUUUUAUUUAUCACUUAAAUAAAACUUAAAAUUUUACCAGAUUGCCCAAUUUUCCAAGACCUGAAGGAAGUGGACCGUUGAGUUCAUUUUCAUCCAAAAACCUGUUUUUUUUUUUUUUUUUUUUUAUUUUUUUUUUUUUUUUUCCAGUGAGUUAGAAAUAACAAAUAAAUAAAAAAAAGCUUCAUACAAAGACCAAAGUUGAGUGAGGUUUCCAGUUAGUCAGGAAUUGGGCCUGAUAACAUGUUAUCGUCAAGAAUCCUGCAAAGCCGCAAUGUAUAUAUAUAUAAAAUUACAAUUAUAUUGCGCCGGAAAGAAAAGAAAAGAAAGGAAAAGAAAGGAAAGGGCCUUACAGGCACUGUAGCAAUGAGAGUUACCAAAUGAUGCCGGUCUUUGCUGAUUGAAGAAGUUGAAGCUCAGAUCGCUAUUGCAGGGAGUUUUUAAACAGCAAUUAAAAGGUAAAUCAAAUAUGCCAUCCCAAAUGACUUUUAAAGUUCAAAUUUUAAAGACUUAUGGCUCAAUAAAAUUAGAGGUGUCAAAAUGGAUUCGUGUCUAGUUUGACACGAAUCCGUCUACACGUAACACGAUUAAAAUCAAUACGAAUACAACCCAUUUAAUAAUCGUAUCAAAUAUUUAAAUACAAACACGAUCUGUUUAUGACAUGAAUCCAUUUAAACUCAAUACUAACUCAUUUAAUUUUCAGUAAAUCGUGUUCUCAUAUCAUGACCCAUUUUGACACCCUGAAUAAAACAUGAGUUGAAUAAGUACUUACAUUGCAUUCAAAUUUUGUAAAUUGCCCAAGCUAGUGAUUGGACGAUCCAAUUAAUUGUUUGAAAGACGCCUAAUUUUGCACAAUUCUCAACUCAAUAUAAUUAAACCGUAAAAUGUACAAUUGAAGAUAGAGUGAUAUAUAGGCUAACUUACAAUUCUUGGAGCAACUUUAAAUGCUGGAAGCUACUAGGAAUAGUACCAUCAAGCUGGUUGUUGCUCAAAUCUCUGAUUAGGUACAAUCACAAAUCACAAUUUUAUUUGUUUUGUAGUCAGGUAAUACCAUUUAUUAUAAAUAUAAAAUAUAUAUAUGUCCUAGUUAAAUUUAUAAAUCUGCAAUACUUACAGCUUUUUGAGACUAGUUAAAUUUCCCAGGCUUUUCGGUAGGGUUCCGGUCAAUUGAUGGCUAGAAAGAUCACUGAAUUUUAACCGAACAAAAUAUAUAUUAGAGAACCAUUGGCAUACUUAUUGAAGCCUAAUUAUUGUGUCAUCAAUAGGACCACUUAGUGUACUCUUUAUAUUUCUGUCACCCAAAAUGCAUAGAUUUAACAUUAAUUACUUAAGCCCCUUGUAUGAGAACACCUAUAUAUCAAAUCAAUUAUCAAUGGUAUUUUGGCUCAGACGAGUAUUUCUGAUAACACGCAGGAAGGAGUUCUAUGGACACUAUAGGGCCAAAGGCCUAUAUUACGCAUUUCUCCAUAGGAAAGGUUUCGGUCUAGAUAGUUUUGCGUUGCCUGGAAUGCCCAAAGACCUUGACCUGAAACUCAGAUGUACGAUACCCUUAUGUAUAUAGCAAGAUGAGUGAUAAGUGUAAUUUUAUAGUUGUUUCAAUGUAAUUUUUAUUAAAGUUUUUAGUAUUUUUAAUUACUUUAUUUAGUUUUUAUCUUAAUUUUAUUUAUGUUUUCAUAUAAAAGCUUCAUUGAAUCAUAAUUCACUUGAUCUUAAGGAAUUUGUAGGGUUUGCACAGAAAAGAACAAAAUGAAGUAAAAAUAUUUUAGCAUGCCCAGCCCAUGCCAAUUAGCAUGACUGUGCUAAAACCAAGGAAAAUCAAGCAAAGAGUCAGACCUUGGCACGCCCCAGACUGUGCAUCCAAGCACGCCCGUGCUACAUACCAAGUGCUGAUUUAAGUCAAAAUUUCCAACCAUUCCUUAUCAUUUUCAUGAGCUCACCUUGGAUAUUUUCUUGACAUGCAAAUCAAGUUCUAAUCUAUGCACAUGGAAGAGACAAGAUUGAGAGAAAUUUAAGGCCUAAUGAGAACUUUAUUCCUGAUAAGUGCAUUAUCAAGUGCUUUUAUUGUCUAUAUUCGUAUGCAUUUUUGGGUUAUUUAUGUGCUUAAUUCACUUUGUUAGACAAUUUUUACCAAUUAGACAUUAUUUUAGUUGCAUUUGGAGUAAUAUGAUUAAAUUGGUAAAAUUCCAGCAUUUUUUUAUCUUGACCCUUGUUCGGUUUUUCAGGGAUAUCUGGAGUUGUAGACCUUCAAAUUGGAUUCCGUUUCAUGCGUUGGAAAGAUGAAAUAAAGUUCUACAAUUGUCAAAGAGGAAUCAGAAGCUAAUUCAGUCUCAAUAUUGAUCAAAUUCAGCUCUGAAUUUUGAAGCUAUGUGCUGUAUAACUGAGCACAACCUGUUCUGUUGUGGACUUCAUAUCUGGAGUUCCAAGUGUCCAAACUAACUCAGCCCAGGCCCAUUGAAUUCUUAGAAGACAGCCCUACAGUUGNNNNNNNNNNNNNNNNNNNNNNNNNNNNNNNNNNNNNNNNNNNNNNNNNNNNNNNNNNNNNNNNNNNNNNNNNNNNNNNNNNNNNNNNNNNNNNNNNNNNNNNNNNNNNNNNNNNNNNNNNNNNNNNNNNNNNNNNNNNNNNNNNNNNNNNNNNNNNNNNNNNNNNNNNNNNNNNNNNNGAAGGAGUCAGAGCCAGAUUUGGAACAGAAGAUGCUGAAAAACAGGAGAGAAAUCAGAACAUCAAAUAUUUUCUGUUUACUGCUUUUGAAUUUCCCAAUUGAUUAGGGAUUCUUUUUCCUUUUGGAGGUGUUACAGCAGCUAGGAGGCACNNNNNNNNNNNNNNNNNNNNNNNNNNNNNNNNNNNNNNNNNNNNNNNNNNNNNNNNNNNNNNNNNNNNNNNNNNNNNNNNNNNNNNNNNNNNNNNNNNNNNNNNNNNNNNNNNNNNNNNNNNNNNNNNNNNNNNNNNNNNNNNNNNNNNNNNNNNNNNNNNNNNNNNNNNNNNNNNNNNNNNNNNUAGUUUCUUCUUGAAUAUCUGUUGUUUCUUGUUCUUAUUGAGUUGAUUCUAUUGAAUUCUUUGCUAAAAAGGCCUAUUAGUGAAUUGUUUGGUAGGAUUAAGUGCUAUUUCAAAUUUCAUAAUCCGUAAUUGUUACGAAAGUUUGAAUGUUAGUAGCAAUUAGGUAUUACUAAUUAUAUUUCAGGUUUUCAGUAAUAAUCUAUAGAGACAAUAGGAUUGAAUUAAAUGGUUUAUGUUUUAUAAAUUAUUGUUCAAGUUUAACUACUUCCUGAUUCUUAAUGCUUUUAUUAAAUUNNNNNNNNNNNNNNNNNNNNNNNNNNNNNNNNNNNNNNNNNNNNNNNNNNNNNNNNNNNNNNNNNNNNNNNNNNNNNNNNNNNNNNNNNNNNNNNNNNNNNNNNNNNNNNNNNNNNNNNNNNNNNNNNNNNNNNNNNNNNNNNNNNNNNNNNNNNNNNNNNNNNNNNNNNNNNUGCAUUGGAUUAGAAAUCAUUUGAAUUGGUUUUUUCAUCAAUUUGCAUUACUACUUUAGUUUAAUUAAUUAAUUUUCUUUUUGAACUGUUAAGUUGAAUUUUUCACAAACAAACCCCCCUUUUAACACAAAAAUUAAGAUUUCAGUCUCUAAGGUUCGACCUGAAUUCACCACUUCUACAGUUAAAUUCAGUAAUUUAAAUUUGGUGGAACCGACAAACAUCAAUUCCCUAAACAAGGUGGAAUUUAUUCCCUAAACAAUGUAGAAUUUCUCUCCCAAGAAGUUUAUAUAAAGAUAGGAAGGAUCCCAAUUCAUCCCAUCAUCUCAUCUUCCAUCUCAUAUAUCUCUCAUUCUUUUAGUCUUGUACAUAGUUUUAUUUUCUUUAGAAGUUAAGUGUUCAAGAGUUGUGUAAAGUUUCAAGGAAGCCAUCUAAACAAUUUAUCACUAGUUCUUAUUUCUAAACUCUUAAUCUUGUUUAUUUCUUUCAUUAUUCUUAUUGAUUAUGGAAUAUUUAUCAAGUAUUAUUGAGUUUUAUUUAAGUACCAUGUGUAACUAAAUUCUUAUACUAGGGGUUUGAUGUAGCUUAAUCUUUUUUUCCAAUUUAUGCGAUUAGAUUUAUUUUUCCUUAUUCAAGUUAUGAUUUAUUNNNNNNNNNNNNNNNNNNNNNNNNNNNNNNNNNNNNNNNNNNNNNNNNNNNNNNNNNNNNNNNNNNNNNNNNNNNNNNNNNNNNNNNNNNNNNNNNNNNNNNNNNNNNNNNNNNNNNNNNNNNNNNNNNNNNNNNNNNNNNNNNNNNGGGGGUUUUUAUGAUUUAUCAACCUUAAAUUGUAAAUCCAUAAACAACUACAUAACUUAAUGAUUUAAUUCAUAUUUGAUUGCGCUAUUGGAAGAUAGGUAAUUAAAUGGAAUUAAAAUAGCUAGCAAUACAUCGGAAGAACUUGUUAGUGAAUUCAGAGUUGUUUCCCCUACUUGAAUAAUUAAAUUGAUUAAUGAACUAAUGAAAUAAAUUGGAAAGAAUUAAGUGAAAUCAAAACCCCUAAUAGUUUCAAUUCCUUGAUUUCUUUUAAUCAAUUUUUGUUUACUUGACUCUUGUUUAUUUUACAUUUAUAAAACAAUUCUCUCAAUUGUCGUCUAAAUAAUAAUGAGAUAACAUAAUUUUGGUACUUGGAUUACAAUCCUCGUAGGAACGAUAUCUUACUCAUCAUAUAUUACUUAUAGCGAUUCGUACACUUGCGAAAUAAGCUGUCAAUGAGCCUUUAUAAUCAGAUGAUAUGCUAAGACUUUCGAAGGAUGCAUGGCUGGCCUAGAUUACAAGUGGAGUCUAGGCACCACGCAGCUGUCAAAAGCUACGAAACCCUAGACCCCAUGACAUUUGAGAAAAAAAUAAUAAAACAAUAAAUUUUUUUUAAAAGCCUUUUUUUUAUCGGUUUGGUAUUUAGGGGCCAAGCUAGACCCAAAAUUAAAGGGUUCAAAGAAAAAUUUUCAAAAUUAAAAGGUGCCAAAAUCAAAGAAAAAAUCUUUUUGGACUAUUUUAUAGAGAAAAUUUAAAAGAAAAAAAAAAAAAAAAAAAGGAGUUUGGGGGGCCAGGCUCCCCUCAGUCCUCUCCCUCCGCCUCUGUUUGUAUAUAGAACCAGCCAGACACAGGAUGUAGACAAGUCUAUAAUUGACAAUAUAUAUCAGAAUUUGGAGAUACAUACAUUUCAGUUAUGUGGCAAGUGAUGUUGCUCUUGUUAUCCUUGAAAAUACAAUCACAUCUUAUUUCAGCACCAGGCUCCAGAUUGCUGCUGUUUUGACAGUGUAAAGCAUCGAAGUGAGAUGCUGAAGGAAACCUGUUUAUGAAAGUUCUAAUGGCAUCCACAGUCAAGAAAAAGAAAAAUCUGGUUAAGCCAAGCAUUACAUCAAACUAAACGGAACUUAAUUAAUCCAAAUACAGAAUAAUGAAAUGGUUUGCUAGCUAGGAGUAGAAUAUUAUAUGCAUGCAAGUUGGGUUUCGAUUCCUGAAAGAAAAGAAAAAGUUAAAUGGAUUGAGAAUUGCGCUUUUAGUUACAGAAGUUUACACUCAUAGCAAGGCAGAGUUUGAUUUCCGUCACAUCCUAUUUCAGAUUUUCCUGUAGAAAGCACACCAUAAAAACAAAUUACUACAGAUGGGAGUUAAAAGAAAAUAGAAAUGGUUAUUUAGCUAGUAGGAGCUAAUUCUUGAAAAAAAAAAUUGAAACUUGAAAAUUGUGCUCAUAGAAGUUUACCCAUUUUACAAUUAGGAUUAUACAUGGGACAUUGACAAUUAGAGCUAUAUCGGUCAGGACUACAUACAAGAGAAUCUCCAUAAACAAGUUUCCGAUGGAGAAGGAAAGUAAGGAUGGGGAUAAGUAUAGCCAUAACUCAUGUUAGAGAUAUGGAUGCUUAGAAAACUUUCCACGUCUUAGGAAUGGAAAAUAAAAAAAUGAAAGCACCAAUUAACGCAAUUCUAUUUGAACUUAAAUAUUAAUAUUAAUAAUUUAUUAAAGAUAAUUUUCAAACAUGUUGAUUUGGUGUAGGCAUUAAUUGUCACGUUUUCGUUGGAAAAGAAGAGUGGUUGAGUUUUUGCCCAUUGCCAGGUUGUCCAUAUGGCGGUGGGACCAAUUGAAGCAACUGCUGAUGAAAAAUAAAUUUUAUUCUGACUUUUAUUUUUAUUUAAUUUGGUCUUAAGUAAAAUCCAUAAACUAAAUUUGGUCUUAACUAAAUAUAGCCCAUUGGAUUAAAACUGGUUGGCCCACUAAAGAGUAAAAUGCUAAUUUCAUUCGUAAUAAUAUAAAGUUUAUAAAUCUUUCAUAUAGUUAGCAAUUACAUAAAUAAAUAAGGUUCAUCGUGUCGACCUUAUCUCUAUUUUUUUUUCUAGUUUUAUGUGAUUCUUGAAAUUAUGACAUUUUAGUAUAAUUGUAUUAUCUACUCCAUCCCUUAAACGGUGAAAAUAAUACUUUUUGAUGAAAGGUUUAAAUGGAUAAAAGUAUUAAUAGAUUUAAAAAUUAGAGAAUGAUUCAAUUAUUUACUCAAAAUAUAGAGAUGAAGUGGUAAUUGGAGUCAUGUGUUUAGAAUUAAAUAGUUUUUACCCAUAAUUUUGACAAGGGCUAAGUUUCUCCAACAACCUAGGUAGGUGCAAUAAAUUUCAUUUCAAUUUUUUUUCUUGAUACGUGGGAGGCUUAAUGGACGGAAACAUUGUGAGCUAUACGGUAAGAGAUAUCUCUCUCUUUUGAAUAACAUUCAUUAAAUUGGUGAUAACUUUUAUGGUAGAGAGGACUCAAACUCGAAAUAUUUCACUCUCUACAUCUUUUACGAGAGGUAGGACGACCAAUCAAACUACACCUGAUUGGUUGUUAUUUAUUUAUUUAUUUAAUUUAAAGCAUCAUAUAUAUUAUAAUUAAUUCAAAGGUAAAAGAAAAAAAAAAGAGUUGUUGCUUUUUUUUUUUUUUUUUUUUUUUUGCAAAAUAAUCAAUUGCAUAAGAUACCUAUACUCCACAACCAAAUUAGGCCAAAGUCACGAGACAAAUAGUGGGUAGGUAGCAUACUUAAAUUGACAUUAUUAAUAUUAAAGAUACUUAAAUUAUCUUUAAUAUUAAUAAUUUAUUAAAGAUAAUUUUCAAACAUGUUGAGUUAUUAGUAUAACUCAUUCAAUGACUAAUGUAAUCAGGAGAGUGAUUGGUAUGUGAAUAUUAGUGCUGGAAAAAGUAACGAAAAGAAAAGGUUGAUAAAUAAUUAAUUAGGUGUUUCUUUACAUUUUAUUUUAGUUGUUGUUGCAUUAGUUAGAAUAAUAUUUUAGUAAAUUAGUUAGAGAGCGCACGAUUCACUGCAUAAAAAAAAUUAGGAGUUUUAUUAAGAAAUUUCUCAUGUAAGCAUAAAAAAAAACAAAGCAUUUAAUUUUAAAUAUAAAAUAAAUAAAAGUGUGACUCAUCUAAGGCUUUUAUUAUAUAUAUAUAUAUAUAUAUAUAUAUAUAUAUAUAUAUACACACUAGUCUUUUUUAUGAUGUGCGUUGCGCGUUUACAAUACUCGUUAUAUUUUUAUUUUUUAUACUCUUUUAAUUUUUUAUCUAUAUAAUAUUAAAAGGAUAAAUUUUUGUUUAGAUUGAAGUAAAUACAAUUGGUUAAUUUGUAUUAGAUUUUGUCGUAUAAACUAUUUAAAAUGUUAUUUUUUUAUGUAGUUGAUUCUAUUUUAUAUAAUGAAAUGAUCUCAAAGUUCAAUCCAUUUCUAGGAAUGGCAAAAUCAGCCCAACCCGAUGGGUAUGCACUCGACCCAAAUCCAGUCAAACCCAAUUUUUAGAGUUUUGAUUGGAUUUGGGUAAAACCCGAAAGUUUCGUUUUGAGUACGGGUAGGGUAUGAGUAUUGUUAUUAUAAACCCAAAUCUGAUCCCGAAAUCGACCUGAACUUUUGGGUUGAGUAAUAUCCGAACCCGAUACCCAAACCCUGAGAAGUUUGAAAUUAAUUAUUUUCUCUAAAUUGUGGUAUGAAAUAUUUAAUAAAGUAAAAUAAUUAUAAUUUGAAUAAUUUUGAGUUAAUUUGAAUAAUUUAAAUUAAUUUCAAUAAUUUGAAUAAUGCGGAUAAUUUAAAUUAAUUUGAAUAAUUUAAAUUUAUUUAAACAAUUUGAAUUUUUCAAAAUUUUAAAUUUUAGAAUUUUAAAAUUUGAAGCUCAAUAUUUAAUAUUUCAUUUAAAUAAAUAUCUUAUUUUUAAUUUUAUAUUUUAGUCUAUAUAUUAUUUAUUGUAGAUUGAAAUUACUAUUAGUUAGAAGAAAACAAGAAAGACUCUAACUAAGAAGAAUUUUUCAAUUUCUCAAAAAAACAAAAACAUUUUAUCAAAAGCUUCAACACGAGUAAUAGUUACAAUAAAGAAUUUAUUUAUCAAAUAUUUCAAAGCAAGCGGUGUCAAGUCAUGCUUAUCUUCGUUAAUUUAUCAGUUGAAGAGUCUACUACUAUUACCCUUCAGUGACAUAUUAUGAUAAGAAGAGCAAGCAUUAUGAUAAGAAGAGUAAUUUUGUAAUUAAAAUUGUAAUUUAUCAUUUUUUGAAUAUUUAUUUAUGUAUUAAUUGAUUUUCAUAUUUUUAAUAGAAUGAUACUUUUAUUUUUUUUUAAUUCUUUUAUUUAUUGAUUCAAUAUAAUCUAAUUUUUUAAACAAUUUGAAUAUAUGAAUAAAUAGGUAUUUGCGGGUAACAGAUACCCACGAGUACCCAUAGAUAAUGGGUACCAUUGGAUAUUGGAAACGCCAAUCCCUGGCAAUGGCGCCAAAAAAAAAAAAAUUUAUAAUCAGUUCGACCAAAUCUUUUUUACAUAAACAUCUGAAAUAAUCUAAUAAAAAUAAGUAAAAAUAAGAAUGAAUGUCUAAAUUAAUAAUAGGGUAAUUAAUAUUGAUAUUGGUAACGUCAAUCCCCGGCAACGGCGCCAAAAACUUGACAGUGAUUUUCACAAGUGUACGAAAUCGCAAUAAGUAAUAUAGAAUGAGAUGAGUAUCAUUUCCACAGAGAUUGUUUACCAAGUGCCAAAGUUAUGUUAACCUACUAUUAUUUCAACAGCAAUAAGUGGAAUUGUUUUUAAGAAUUAACUUCAACAAAUAAAAGAGAAUAAAAAGAACUCAAGUAAGACAAUUUUUGAUUAAAAGAAAUCAAGAAUUAAAAGCUACUAGGGAUUUUGACUUUACUUAAUUCUAUCCAAUUUAUUUAAUUAGUUUGAUAAUCAAUUUUAAUUAUUCAAGUAGGGGAAACAACCCUAAAAUUACUAACAAGCUCUCCCGAUGUAUUGUUAGCUAUUUUAACCCGAUCUAAUUACAUAUCUUCCAAUAGCGCAAUCAAACAUGAAUUAAAUCAUUAAGGUUUAUGGUUUAUUUUGUGAAUUUAUAACCUAAGGUCAUUAACUUAUGAAAACCCCCAAGAGUCAAACCAUAUAGCUUCCGCAUUAAGUUAUUAUUUCCAUAUAAUUUACUACCUUUUUUAUAUCAAAAACCCUUCUCCAGAUAGUGAUUAAUGAAAUAAAUCAAUUCAGGUGAGAAACUCUGUCCGGAAGCAUUAAGUUCAAUAAUAAAUUAUACUUCGAACAAAGAUAAGCAAAUCAAAUAUUAUAAAUUGGAAUCGAAAUUAAGCUACAUCAAAUCCCUAGUAUGAGAGUUUAGCUCGACAUAGUAAUUAAAUAAAACUCAAUUAAACUUGAUAAUAAUUCCAUAAUCAAUAUGAAUAAUGAAAGAUAAAAACAAGAUUAAGAGUUUAGAGAUAAAAACUAGUUAACAAAUAAUUCUGGACGGCUUCCUUGAAUCUUCGCACAAAUCUUCAACAUUCGAAGUCUUGAAGAGAGGGAGAAAAACAAUAGAACAAAAGAAUCAGAGAUCCAGUGAUCCUUUACAAUGAAUGAGUUCUCUCUUUAUAUAGACUUCCUAGGAGAAAAUCCGACUUCGUUUAGGAAAUAAAGUCUUCAUUAAGUAAGAAAUCUUUUGGAAAUAGGAAACUGUUUAGGCUUUGAAUUUCUUCUCAACUAGGACUCUCUCAUGCGCCUAAAUAGGAUUAGAAAUUGAUUUGCAUGUCUAGAGGAGAAUCUGUGGCACAGGUGUACCAAAUAGCACGGCUAGGGCGUGCUAGGCUCAGAGUCUCCAUGAUGGAUGCAGCACGGGCCGUGCUCAAGCAAGCACGGCUUUGGAAUGACGUCCUCUUGCGGCACGGGCGUGCCAGAUAGCAUGGCUGGGGCGUGCUAGGGCCUGAGUCUCCACUUGAUUUUCCUUGAAUCCAGCAUGUGUGUGCUGAUGUGCACAGGCAGGGCGUGCUAUAGCUUGAGUAUUUUGCUUUAUUUUGUUCUUUUCUGUGUUAAAAUUCUACAAAUUUCUUUAAGAUCAAGUGAAUUAUGAUUCAAGGAAGCUUUGAAUAAAAACAUAAAUAAAACUAAAUAAAAACUACUAAAAAUUCUAAUAAAAAUUAUAUUAAAAAUACUAUAAAAAUGACACUUAUCAAUAAAUUUCUUAAUUUUAUUAGAAAAAAGAAAACCGGAAAAAUUUUAAUUAAUUCAAGAAUCUAACCCAAGCUAGUAGGCUUCCCCAAUAUACUCAAGCUAAGACCUUACCCUAUCUAAAAAUCUAUUGUCAAACACCGCCUAUGUGUCAUCGUUCAAGUAUGUUCACCUUAUAAGAGAACUAAUUAAAUAAAUAAAAAAAAUAAGUAUGCAUUUAUUACCUUUUCCAAAAGAUAAAUAACUAUUGUCAGGAUCUCUAAGGUUUUUAUCAAUCUUUUUCCCACUAAUGAUUUCAAGUAGUAGAAGCCCAAAGCAUCAUAACUUAGUUGCAAAGACGCCUUUACUGUGGCCUCCCCUUGAGUUAAUAAUUUCUGGAACUCAUCAUAAACUUUUUCCCACUCAUUAAGCUGCCGUUUUGAUUUCAAUAAGGCUGCUAUGGGUUUGAUUGCUAGAGGACGUCCUCCGCAUUUCUUCACUAUCUUUUUUCCAACUUCUAUGAUAUUCUCAUCUUUACAGAUAUCGUCAUGGGGAGAAAAUGCAACCUUGUGAAACAAUAACCAGAUUUUUUCAUCUUCUAAAGCUUUUGGAUAAUGGAUUCGAGACCUGUUUACUCGCAUACCGAUUGCAACUUCUUCUAUUCUAGUUGUGAUAAUGAUGCAGGUAUUUUGAUCUCAUUUUUUUCUCAAGACUAGAGCAUAAGUCCUGCCAAUGAGAUAGAUUGAAAACAUUCCAUAUAUCGUCCAAAAUGACAAGGCAGAAACUUUCAUGAUCAUCACCUCCUUGUGUCUCCUCCUGCUGCUGUUUUUUCAGUUCUUCCAAUAUGCUCUUUAUAAUGCUUUCUUCAUUGCAAUCUUGAGAAACAGUCAGCCAGAUUUUGUUUUGCUUAAAUGUAUCAAUUACUUCCUUGUCAUUGUAAAUUUCCCAAACAAGAGUAGUUUUGCCUGAACCUCCCAACCCGACAAUGCCAACAAAUUGCAGUGGUGGCCUAUUCUCGCAGAGAAUCCAUUUCUUGAGCUUUCUUAUGUCUUCUUCCAAUCCUGUUGGAUAUCAGCUCUGAUACCACUUGUUGGGAUUAAUGCUCUGAUACCACUUAUUGGAUAUCAGCUCUGAUACCAUUUGUUGGAUAUAAGUGUAGUGAUAAACUCUAAGAUUGAUUAAUAAUUUAUAACACCAAGAAUAAUAACGGGGAAGGCAACCAAAAUAAUACUAACACAAAACACCAAAUAUAAUUGUAUUAAUAAGAAGCAAACAUUCACAAAGCUUAAGGAAAGGAUUACUUACUUGGUUUUCACCUCCUCAAUGUACGACUAAGAUUUGUCUACAAAAUGGACGGUUUAUAUUACAUGGAGAAUUCUAGAACUAUGUUGACAUUAUACAAAAUAUCUUUUGGGUGGAGUAAUAUGGAGUAUUCUAGAAUGUGGGCUUGGACCUCUAACUUUGGGCUUAAGGCUUCCCAAGUCUUGGCUUAUUAUAGCAGCCCAUUUUGAUGGUGACUAAAUUAAUCGGUGAUAUUUUAAUACUCUCCCUUAACGAUUAAUUUCUCUUUCUUCAUCAUUCCCAACUGUUGGCGAAAAUCUUCAUAUUUAUUUGCGUUUAAACUCUUUGUAAAGAUAUCGACUGGUUGAUCCUCCGUCUUGAUAUAUUUCAUUUCAAUCUCUCCUUGUAUAACCUUCUCUCUAAUAAAGUGAUAGUGAAACUCCACGUGUUUUGUUCUCGCAUGAAACACCGGAUUCUCAGCCAUUUGUAUAGCCGAAUGAUUAUCACAAUUCAACGGAAUCGGAUAGUCGAUGGGUUGAUGCAGAUCGUUCAUAAGCUGCGACAACCAAACACUUUCCUGAGCUGCUGUUGCUGCUGCCCGAUACUCAGCUUCUAUUGUGGAAAGUGACACUGUAGGUUGUCUCUUGCUGCACCAAGAGAUUACUCCUGAACCAAGACUAAAUGCAUAGCCUGUUGUCGAGCGCCGAGUGUCGUGAUCUCCUACAUAAUCAGCAUCGCAGUAUCCUUCCAACUUGAUAAUUUCGCCUCUCUUGUAAAAGAUCCCAUGAUCGAUUGUACUUUUGACAUAUCUCAAUAUUCUUCGAACUGCUUCCAAAUGAGGUUUCUUAGGCUUCUGCAUAAAUCGGCUGACUACUCCAACUGCAAAGGAAAUGUCUGGCCGNNNNNNNNNNNNNNNNNNNNNNNNNNNNNNNNNNNNNNNNNNNNNNNNNNNNNNNNNNNNNNNNNNNNNNNNNNNNNNNNNNNNNNNNNNNNNNNNNNNNNNNNNNNNNNNNNUUCACUCCAUCAUUCCAAACCUCUUCAGUAGAUCUCUUGCAUACUUCUGUUGUCCAAGGAACAAACCUUCCUUGGCUUCUUCUAUCUCCAGUCCAAGAAAAUGCUUGAGCUUUCCUAGCUCUUUCAUUUUGAAACGAGUAGCCAAAUUCUCUCGGAUGAGUUGAAUCUCUUCACUGUUGUCGCCAGUGACUAUUAUAUCAUCAACGUAUACUAGCACUAUAGCUAGUCUUCCUUCAUGAUCUUUCACAAACAAACUGGAGUCUGCUUGUGUCAUAACAUAUCCAUUCUUGAUAAGGAAUUCUGCAAUUUUGCCAUACCAAGCCCUCGGUGCUUGUUUUAGACCAUAAAGAGCUUUCCUUAGCUUGCACACAUAGUUAGGAUUCUCACGACUUCUNNNNNNNNNNNNNNNNNNNNNNNNNNNNNNNNNNNNNNNNNNNNNNNNNNNNNNNNNNNNNNNNNNNNNNNNNNNNNNNNNNNNNNNNNNNNNNNNNNNNNNNNNNNNNNNNNNNNNNNNNNNNNNNNNNNNNNNNNNNNNNNNNNNNNNNNNNNNNNNNNNNNNNNNNNNNNNNNNNNNNNNNNNNNNNNNNNNNNNNNNNNNNNNNNNNNNNNNNNNNNNNNNNNNNNNNNNNNNNNNNNNNNNNNNNNNNNNNNNNNNNNNNNNNNNNNNNNNNNNNNNNNNNNNNNNNNNNNNNNNNNNNNNNNNNNNNNNNNNNNNNNNNNNNNNNNNNNNNNNNNNNNNNNNNNNNNNNNNNNNNNNNNNNNNNNNNNNNNNNNNNNNNNNNNNNNNNNNNNNNNNNNNNNNNNNNNNNNNNNNNNNNNNNNNNNNNNNNNNNNNNNNNNNNNNNNNNNNNNNNNNNNNNNNNNNNNNNNNNNNNNNNNNNNNNNNNNNNNNNNNNNNNNNNNNNNNNNNNNNNNNNNNNNNNNNNNNNNNNNNNNNNNNNNNNNNNNNNNNNNNNNNNNNNNNNNNNNNNNNNNNNNNNNNNNNNNNNNNNNNNNNNNNNNNNNNNNNNNNNNNNNNNNNNNNNNNNNNNNNNNNNNNNNNNNNNNNNNNNNNNNNNNNNNNNNNNNNNNNNNNNCAGCCUUGUCUUUACUCAUUAUAACCAACGAAUAUGCAGCGAAGUGCCUUUUUGUCAAACUUGCUUCGAAGUUCAUCCGGAACGAAGACAUAACAUACGCAUCCAAAAAUGCGAAAAUGACUUACAGGUGGUUUAAUGUUCCACAAUUUCUGGAAUGGGGAUGUAAACUCCAGUCUUGCUUGAGGUAGUCUAUUGGUGACGUACACAACUGUCUUCAUGCACUCUGCCCAAAAUCUAGCUGGCACAUUCUUCGCAUGGAGCAAACUCCUGCANNNNNNNNNNNNNNNNNNNNNNNNNNNNNNNNNNNNAUUCUGCUGUGGUGUUCUUGGACAUGUGAAUUGCCUUCGAAUGCCUUGCUCUUGGCAAUAUUUAGUGAAUUCGUCAGACGUGUACUCUCCACCAUUAUCGGUGCGAAGGCAUCUAAUUUUAUUUUCGAUUUCUUUUUCAACUUUCUCCUUGAAAGCUUUGAAUUUUUCAAGAGCUUCUGACUUCACUAUCAUGAAAUCAACCCAAACAUAUCUCGUGUAGUCAUCGAUGAAAGUAAUCAUGUACCUCAUAUUACUGUUUAUAGGUUGCUUGAUCCGUCCAAGAACAUCUGAAUGUAUUAACUCCAAUGGCACCUUGGCUCUAUGUUUUGACUCUUCAAAGGGAAGUUGAUGGGCUUUUCUAUAUUGGCAUCCAGCACAUAUAUUGUCUUCUCGGCAUUCCAAAUGAGGAAGACCUUUAAGCAUGGACUUCUUCAUCAUCACCUUAAGCUUGUGAUAACUAACAUGUCCCAGACGAGCGUGCCAAAAGUCAGCUGUCUCAUUCUUCCUUGUUCUGUCAACAUAGGUUUCUUGUGCUGACAUGACGUAGAUUGAUUCUACUCGCCGUCCUUCCAUGACUGGAUCUCUGAUUAAUUUAAGGUUACGAUAAACCUUCACAUUAUCAGGACCGAACACCACAUAAUAACCUACACUUGUUAUUUGUGAUACAGAGAGCAAAUUUUUCUUCAUCUUUGGCACAUGGUAAACCAUCUGUAACUCCAUUUUCUCCUUACUAGAGGGAGAAACAAUGGUUGUCUUUCCAAUGUGAGCUAUUGGCAAUCUCGUGUUAUUUGCUAUGACUACAACACGACCUCCAUCAUAAUUGGAUACAUUCGAUAAUUUCUCCAUGUUUUCUGUCAUGUGAUUAGAACUUCCAGAAUCAACUAUCCAAUCAUCAUCAUAGUUGAUUCUAUCACUUACAGAUAUUAAUGACGACUCAUGUUCGGGUCCUUUCUGCAUCAUCUCUACUGGCUUUUGUAGAGAAUAUUCUUCCUCCUGAACAAAGAAACUGUGAAUAUCCCAUUCCUCUUCACUUUGUUGCUCGUUCUGGGUUGAUGCUGUGUUUCCUUCUACUCGUCUGCUUCGACAUUCUCGGGCGAAAUGUCCUCUUUUAUUGCACUUAUAGCAACGAUCAUUUUCUCGCCAAUCAUCUUUCCUUUGUCCUGGUCUUGCUCUCCCUUGCUGUGAUGGUCUCCACUUUUGCUUUCUCCAUCCUUGUUGAUUGCUCCUUUCUUUUCCACCAUCUACUCUCNNNNNNNNNNNNNNNNNNNNNNNNNNNNNNNNNNNNNNNNNNNNNNNNNNNNNNNNNNNNNNNNNNNNNNNNNNNNNNNNNNNNNNNNNNNNNNNNNNNNNNNNNNNNNNNNNNNNNNNNNNNNNNNNNNNNNNNNNNNNNNNNNNNNNNNNNNNNNNNNNNNNNNNNNNNNNNNNNNNNNNNNNNNNNNNNNNNNNNNNNNNNNNNNNNNNNNNNNNNNNNNNNNNNNNNNNNNNNNNNNNNNNNNNNNNNNNNNNNNNNNNNNNNNNNNNNNNNNNNNNNNNNNNNNNNNNNNNNNNNNNNNNNNNNNNNNNNNNNNNNNNNNNNNNNNNNNNNNNNNNNNNNNNNNNNNNNNNNNNNNNNNNNNNNNNNNNNNNGCUUCCUUUGGUGUUUUAGCCGACUUGAUCCGUUGCAUCUGCUCAUCUUCUACUGCAACCGUCAGCACAUACAUCGCCUUCCCGCAUUUUGUCUCCCACUCUUUCAAAGCUUUUGCAUCCCCAACUGGUGGUGUAGUAUUAUCUCCUCCGACGAUAUCCCAUAAGUCUUGACCUAUGAGAUAAUAUCUCAUACGGGUACUCCAGUUCCCGUAAUUGUUGCUAUUUAGCUUCUCAAUGCUAUUAGUAACUCCAGAGAAAUCCACCAUAAGGUACUGGUGUUCCUGACACUAACCAAUGCACAACGGUCCUUGACCAAUCACAAUCACAAUCCUUACUUGUGAAUUUGGUUGCUUCAACAACAGUCCCCGACUGUUAAUUCCAGCAGAGUAACAAUACCCUGCACUUGUAAAUGAACACCACCAAAUACCAUGGCUACAACAACUACCACCACAACCAGGCUCUGAUACCACUUGUUGGAUAUCAGCUCUGAUAUCACUUGUUGGGAUUAAUGCUCUGAUACCACUUGUUAGAUAUCAGCUCUGAUACCACUUGUUGGAUAUAAGUGUAGUGAUAAACUCCAAGAUUGAUUAAUAAUUUAUAACACCAAGAAUAAUAACGGGAAAGGCAACCAAAAUAAUACUAACACAAAACACCAAAUAUAAUUAUAUUAAUAAGAAGCAAACAUUCACAAAGUUUAAGGAAAAGAUUACUUAUUUGGUUUUUGCUUGGUGCUUGCUUGGUUUUUACAAAUGAGGUGAGGGGUGGUAUUUAUAGGCAUUUCCACCUCCUCAAUGUACGGCUAAGAUUUGUCUACAAAAAUGGACGGUUUAGAUUACAUGGAGAAUUCUAGAACUAUGUUGACAUUAUACAAAAUAUCUUUUGGGUGGAGUAAUAUGGAGUAUUCUAGGGGCUUGGACCUCCAACUUUGGGCUUAAGGCUUCCCAAGUCUUGGCUUAUUAUAGCAGCCCAUUUUGAUGGUGACUAAAUUAAUCGGUGAUAUUUUAAUCAACUAAUGAGUCAGAUGAGUUGAGGUGCUGAGAAAUAAAUAAUCCCUUAUCCAUACUUCCUUCGUUCUUGUUCAAUUGUUGUGAUUGACUAUUGAGAUACUUGUGCAUGCUAUCCUCUACCUUUUCCAUGCGUGAAUUUAAACGUUUCAACCUUCUUCCCAUUUUAUACGCGAAAAUUGGAUCAUUUAGCGAGAAGCAGUGUCCAUCUUUCUUAUAUUCCUCUCUGAUCAUGCAAUCUGUUAAAAUGUCAUCAGCAUCAUAAGCCAAAUCUCUCAACUGAGACAAAGCUACCUCUAGAACUUGUUUCUUUUCCUUGAGCUUAUCCAUAUCAGCAAAGAAACCAUUGACAAUUUUAAGCUUAUCCUUCAAGUUCUGGAGGUCAGAUUUGAAGUCAAUUGCAUAUUGAGCUUGAUUUUUGAUCGCUUCAGUAAGUUCAUCUGCUAGUGUUUCAAGAAUCACAGUUGCCACUGCUUCCUUAUUCUUUACUUGUUUGGGCAGCACCUGUAAAGUUCACCAAUUUACCAAAAGAAUGUAACUCAACUGCCCAUAGGCUUGGGACUAAAAUGAAUAAUCUGUUAAUUUCUUUACAUCAACGGUAAUAUUAAUCAAACAAUAAUAUUCUAAAAAUUAUAUUACAUGUCCUUUUAUAUAUAUAUAUAUAUAUAUAUAACUAUCGGUGUUGAUUAAGAAGAAGGGUUUGAAAAAGAAAAAGAAGGUGGUCGUCUGUAUAGUGGACGAAGAGCAAGUAUCGGGUGGAAAGAGAAGAAAAAGAAAAAGAGAAGAGGGAAAGUAGAAGAAUAGAAGGGGAUGUAGCUUUGGACAUUCGUUUGGUUGUUUUUGUUUGGGAUUAGUGAGAUUACUGUUUUAGGUUCUGAAUUAUGGCCAUCUUUGAAGUUCUCAAAUUAGCUUACUCACAAGGUUACACCAAGGUUCAGGUAGAAAAUGAUAAUUUGUUAGUUGUAAGUACUAAAUAUCAUUAAUGGUGUCCUGUUGCUGUUUGGCUUUUGUUUUGUUAAUUUGAUAGUUCUUUUCCUUGAAUUAGUCCAUUCAUAUUUCUCAUAUUUUUGUAGAAGCUAAUUGGUGGCAAUGACGUGCUCUAUAAGUGCAUAGUGGUACAAAUAGUAUAGAAAAAUUAUCGCCUUCAUAAAAAAUAAAUUGUUGAUUAUUAAAUUAUUAUGAUUUGAAUUAUCUAAAAUUCUAAAGAGAGCUAAGAAUAAACUAAACAAUUAACAUAAAAAUAGAAAUAAACAACUAACAAAAUAUAAGACUAAUAUAAUCUAAAGGCCUAGUGUUGAGAGUUAUAUCAGCGUUAGCUUAAUAUAGUUAUUCACGAUCUUCCUAAAUUAACAAUAUUUAAUAUCUUAAAGAAGGUUAGCCUAACAUGUCCAAGUCCUUUUUCUAAAGCCAAAUGAGUGUUAGAAUCAAAUGAUAUCUACUUUUACAGUAUUAAGUUGAUUGAAAUCCAAUGAACAGGUGUCAACCCUUUUGCUCUUAAAGAUGAGCUAUCUAUACGAUGAAUUAAACAUCGUAUAGAUAUAUAUGCACUAUAUAUAUACACUUAAUAGCUAAAUUAAUUAUUUACAUGUAAAAAAUUAUUCCCUUCAUCUCAAAUAUUUCUCAAACAAUUUAGGUAUACCUAGUUAAAUUAGUUUGGAUAUAAAUUUUUUUUCUUAUUUUUUCGUGUGUAUAAUAAUAAUAAUAAUAAUUCCUUGAAAUAGGAGCAGCUUGCUAUGCUUCAUAUCAAACUUUGACGCUCAAGAAAUUACGUUGGCCAUCAACAAUGCAGGUUUGAAUUAUUCAUAUCAAGCUUCAUAUCUAAAAUAAAUAUUGUAGACAAGCGAACAUUGGGUUACUUCUGAACAUUGGGUUUUCUAUGAAUUAAAAUAAAUAAAAAUAUAGAUAGACUAGUAAAUAGUAGCAGUAUCACAAAAUAGGCCAUCUAAUCAAACCAUUACAUUCUUUUACAAGGUUGCAAUACAUAUAAAACUGUCCAAAAACAUAACAAGAAUACAAUAAAACAGAAAAAAAAAAAAAAAAAAAAAAACACCACCAUAAUAAUAAAUGAAAAUAGAGUCCAAAAUUAAAUUCCAAGUGUGAAAUUAAACAUCAGUCAUAUCCUUAACGGUUUUUUCACCCUGAAGCACGCUCACUACAUCUGAUAUUGGGGGUCGUUUAGAAGGCCAAUCGGUGCACAGCAUUGCCAACUCAACGAUGGUAAUGGCUUGAUAAAGCAUUGCUGAUGAUACUCUCCCUGGUGGACGCUCUUUCAAUGUUUCAUCAAUUAAUUGUUCGUACGUUUUUUGCUUGCGACACAUGUCGGCCUACAUUUAAACAGUUUUGCGAGUGAGUUUAAGGCCCUGUUCGGCCUUUGAGCAGAUUGGACCAAAUUAAAAUUCUAUUUCUAUUAAUUGUACUGUUUAAUAAUAGCUAUUAUAAUAGGUUUUAAACAUUGGAUGAGCUAUAUCAAUUGGUUUAAAACUCCUUGGUUUUUUCUCCAAAAGUCAGCUAAUUAAAUACUUAAUAUCUGUUUUUGUCAAUUUAAAUUAAACAUUUAAUUAAACCACUGUUUUUAUCGAACACUUUUAAUUUAAACCAUUAUAUAAAAAGUUAACAUGUAAUAGUUAACAGCUAACAGCUCAUAGAACACCUAACGGCUAAUAAAACAAUUAACUGAUACUAUAACAUCUAACCUAAGGAUCUUUUCGAUAAAAUUAGCUGUUUUGAUAAUUGUUAGAUGUCUUUUCAUAAAAUUUUAAAAAGUAAACGUUACAUGGAUUAACUUUCUUUUUAUAAAAUGGUACCUUAAUAUCUAAAAGUUAAUUCAAACGCUAUGUUACCGAAUACUGCAAAUAAUAGCGUUUAUUGUUUCGACUAAUCAAAACACUAAAAGCUAUCUAAAAAUUUAUUGUUGACGCUAUGUUUUUUUUAUCGGCAAAUAAAUUUCUUAAUUUUAUUAGAAAAGAGAAAACCGGGAAAAAGUUUAACUAAUUCAAGAAUCCAACCCAAGCCAAUAGACUUCUCUAAUACACCCAAACUAAGACCUUACUCUAUCUAAAAAUCUGUUGCAAACAGUGCCUAAGUGUCAUCGUUCAAGUAUGUUCACCUUAUAAAAGAACUAAUUAAAUAAAUAAAGAAAAAUAAAUAUGCAUUCAUUACCUUUUCCAAAAGAUAAAUACUAUUGCCAGGAUCUCCAAGGUUUUCAUCAAUCUUUUUCCCACUAAUGAUUUCAAGUAGCAGAAGGCCAAAGCUAUACACAUCAACUUUCACUGUUAUGUUAUUGUGAGAUACAUACUCAGGUGCCAUGUACUUCCUGCAUGUAACAUCAACAAAUUAUCCCUUUUUUUUUGUUGUUGUCUAUAAAGCAAUAGUGAAGAAAUUUUUGUUGUUUCAGUACUUACAGUGUACUUCCGGGAUCUUUAGUGAACAUAAAUGGAUCAUCUUCCUCCUAAAGCUUUGCCAAUCCAAAGUCUGAGAUUUUAGCAUUAUAAUCUCAAUCCCGCAGAAUAUUACUGGCCUUGAUAUUUCUAUGGAUUACGGCCGGCUCCCUUUUAUGUAAAAACUCCAAACCUAGGGCUAUUUGUUCACAAAUUUUGUAUCUUUUUUCCCAACUAAGUUGUGCCGAACAAUUAGCAUCUGCAUAUAAAUACUUAAUAAGUUAUAAAAUGGAUAUAAGAUCCGUGAGCUCCUGGGAUAAAAGAAAAUAACGUCCCAAAUAAGACUUCCUCAAGGGAUCCGUUUUCCAUAUAUUCAUAAAUUAGCAAAUGCAAGCCUCUUUUUGAAUAAGAACCCAGUAAUUUAACAAGAUUCUGAUCUCCUAAAUUAGACAAUGCAAAAACUUCUGCUCUUAUUUCAGCAGCUGCCUUUGAUUUUGGAAAAAGCUUCUUCACUGCUACUGUCAAAUUUGGCAGUAUAGCCUGCAAACAGAGCAGUGGAAGGAGAAAAACAUAAUGAACUAUAAUUAACGCCAAGAAAAUAACAAGAUAAAAGAUUUCAACCUUGUAGACUAUUCCAAAACGACCAUCCUUGCCAAUCUUUGUUUUUGGGCUGAAUUUUUGAGUGGCAUUAAUUAUUUCUUUAACACUGUAAGCCUGUUCUUCCGAAAGGUUUAUACGUGUUUCUGUGUUCCAAUUUCAAACAUCAAAUCAAAGAAGUUACAGUGUAUGUGUGUGUGUUUAUAAAUAUUAUUAGGGGAUGGAUGCUCUUACUGUGCAACUCUCUGUCUCCUAUCCAUCCCAUUCUCCACAGGAAAGCUAACAAAAGGAACAGAAAAAGGACGCAAGCUGCCGCAAUUGCAACUAUUUCCCAAGCUUUUAAUUUUCUUGGAGCUUCAAAACCCAAAAUGCAGUAGUCAUUAUGAAGUGAAAAAAAUUAAAAUGUUCGAUCACACACUGAAGCAAUAAAAUGUUCAACAUUAUACCACGCGUUAUGUAAAUAGCUGAAACGAGAGGUCCAUUAUCAUCUAGCGAUCCCCUACCAGCCCAGAAGAAGUCUAUCUGCAAUGGUUCGUGGUCAGGUAUUAUAGCCGUGAAACUUUUCAUAAUGGUCUUAUACUUAGCUCCUUCAGCCUCUUUCUGUAUGUUGAAAUCCUGUAAUACUUUCUUUCCCUGUAAUUAAAAUCAAGAACUCAAAAAUUAGUUUCAAUCGUCACAAGAGCAUUAUAACAAGUUCUAACCAAUAAAAAGAAUCCCCUUUAGAAACAAUUAGGCAAAUUACCUGAAUAUGUACCUCAAAAAUGCGUUUCUUCAGAAUACUAUAAUCUUCCUUUUUGGAAAAUGAAGUUUCAGCAAAAAAAAGUUUGAUAUUGUAUUUGCCUUUACGCAAGCAGAAGGCAUAAUAGGUAAGGAAGAUAGGAGCAACACGAGCAUUGACGUAUAGGUCUCCCUCAGGAACGGAAACUCCACAUGUUAAGUUCUCUCUGGUGGUUGGAGUGAUGGCGCCUCCAGAAACGCUAUAAGCCCAAUUUCCAUCAGG
Molecule: long non-coding RNA, 40085 nt
Filed under: Jatropha curcas
Lineage: Eukaryota; Viridiplantae; Streptophyta; Magnoliopsida; Malpighiales; Euphorbiaceae
Description: long non-coding RNA (JCUR_LNC003050)
Source: RNAcentral